UUUUUUUGGUCAAUUGGGUCUUUGUUUAGUGUUCAUAAAUACAGCUUCACUCUAGUGCUGCUUGCUCACAGAGCCAAAAACAUUGAUUGAUAGGAGGAGGAGAGAUGAGCAGCAGCAGCGGCACAACAGAUGAAAGGGUUUCAGUGCCGAUGGGCCUAUUACCCGGAAUUAAAUUCUCUCCCACCGACAAGGAACUGCUUUCCUUUUACUUGAGGAAUAAAAUAGCGGGCGAGGACUCUGAAUUCAGCAACAUCAUCCCUGAGAUCAAUUUGCGAGAACUCGAGCCUCGUGAUCUGCCUGAGUUCUUCUUCAGCGAACCUGAUUACAUGUCCCCCAACGGCGAUAGCUGCCACAGGACCACGAAUGAGGGCUUUUAUAGAAGCACAGGCAAGCCUCGUGAGAUCGAGGAUGAACUAUCGAAAGCUGUGAUUGGUGAGAAGAGAUAUAUGCCUUUCCACGAAGGUCGUGCGCCCGAACACAAGCUGACCAAGUAUGUCCUGCAUCAGUUUUCUCUCACCAAAACUGAACGCGCUAAACUGGCUACUAAUCGGGAGUUUGUUCUAAACCACCUAACAAUUAAGAAGGGUUCAACUAAGGCGCGUAACCCUAAACCCAAUUAUAAGAAGCGGAAGUAUGAUUCAAACUGCGAUAAAUUAGCUGAACAUGGUAUUCCUGGCUACAUCGCCUCCAAUUAUAAAGAUGAUCAAGCUGCUGCUGCUGCUAAUAUGAUUCCAGAGCCCGAAGAGCAUCUCGCAGACAAAGAUGGUCUGUUUGGCAGUGAGAAUCAAAAUGAAUGCGCCGAGUCAGAGUCUGCAAAUGGUUCUCGUCUUAUAAACAAUAAUGAUCCGUUUCAUGAUGAGGUUUCCUUUCAGACAGAAGGAAAUCUGAUAUCACCCUUUCAUCCAUCUAGCCUACGGGAUAUUCCUCUGAGAUCACCAGUGCACACAGGACUAGUGGGAGAUGUUGUGUAUGCCAAUAACUCUAUCCUUAUUGGCAUGCAAUGAUGAGUCGCAAUCUUCAGAUAAUCUGGAGUUUACGAUUCUUUUUCCCACAAAGUUCUUGAAUAAUUUCAUUGGUGACCAAGAUUAUUAUCCUCUGUAGAAACAACAUGCACUAUACUUUCAGUGACUCUAAUCUACUAGAGCCAUUGGGAGGAGUGUAUGAUAGCUAUAGUGGAGUAAGAAGUGAGAAGAACACUGAAUUACUCCAUGGAUCGGUAGUAGGUUUUUUCUGCGUUAGUACUGCAACAUAGAUAGCGAACCGCAACAUUUUAGUUAUAGGAGAACAUCGAUAGAGGCCUUGUAAACCACGAGGUCUUGGAAGGGUAGAACAUAACCCUUAUCUACUGGAGGAUUUGGAAUCUUGUUGAUAGUUGUAGAAAUUUAUGUCGGACAGGACAAACGACAAAGGUUAAGUCUGUUCUUGUUCUUUCGGCCAUUGCUCAGCAUUCCCAAGUAUUGGAAACUUCAAACUUGUUAAGUGAACAUGAGAACCACCGGCAAGUGCUAAUGUUUGAGAUGCCAUCUGGAACUCUACUCUUCUCUGACGAGUCUGAACCAAAAACAAAAAUGUAUUUUCUUAGAAGUAGUACUGUGGAGACCGCGUCUCUCCCAAUUGUCUUCAAAUAGUGUACUCUCUUAAUCAUAGGACACACCAACCUCAAUAUCAACUACCAUCCAUUCAUGUCUUCACACACGGGAGGUGCUCCGAGAAGAAUCCGACUGCAAAGCUGUAUCACAGGACAAGGUUAGGGAUGCUGCAGAGUAUUGUUUUGCUCUUCAUCUGAAAAUCAAGUCCUGGAAGCAUACGGUUUGAAGCAGGCAACAAUAGGGUUCUUUCAUGUUCUUGGAAGCGUCUCCUUGAAACCAUUAAUCAAGUCCCCGAUAUUUUGGUAACAAGUUCUAGCUCUAGCCUUGAUACCUAGGCUUCCGUUCUACCUCUGGCCUUGAUACCCGGGCUUCCGUUCUACCUCUAGCCUUCAUACUCAGGCUUCCGUUCUAGCUCUAGCCUUGAUACCCAGGCUUCCGUUCUACCUCUAGCCUUAAUACUCAGGCUCAAGCCUUAAUACUCAGGCUCAAGCCUUAAUACUCAGGCUUCCGUUCUAGCUCUAGCCUUGAUACCCAGGCUUCCGUUCUGGCUCUGGCCUUAAUACUCAGGCUUCCGUACUAGCUCUAGCCUUGAUACUCAGGCUUCCAUUCUAGCUCUAGCCUUAAUACUCGGGCUUCCAUUCUACCCCUAGCCUUAAUACUCAGGCAAUUGUUCUAGCUCUAGCCUUAAUUCUCAAGCUUUUGUUCCCAAGUUUCUAGCUCCACCCUUGUACUCGGGCUUUCGUUCCGCAGGCUGUUAUUCUUGAAGUGGCAUCAUACAUGAUCUGCUGCUACGUGGCUGCUGGAGUCUCAAUAUACAA
Non-coding RNA from Prunus avium (sweet cherry), 2407 nucleotides. NCBI's taxonomy places the organism in Eukaryota, Viridiplantae, Streptophyta, Magnoliopsida, Rosales, Rosaceae. The record is from RefSeq and is a predicted model, not a curated record.